UGAGGGUUUAACUGUCUCUUUUAGUCAAUCAAUCAAACUGAUCCCCUAGUAAAAAAGCUAGGAUAUUUACAUAAGACCAGAAGACCCUGCGAAGCUUAAACCAAACUAUUAAAUCAUAUAAUAACUACUUUCGGUUGGGGCGACCUUGGAAAAAAAAAGAACUUCCAAACACAAUGAUUUUAAUCAUAUUUAUAGGCCCACAAGCCUUAAACCUAUGACCCAGUUAAAACUGACAAUUGAACCAAGUUACUCCAGGGAUAACAGCGCUAUCUUCUUCAAGAGCCCAUAUCAAAAAGAAGGUUUACGACCUCGAUGUUGGAUCA
RNAcentral lists this ribosomal RNA (323 nucleotides) under Hydrodynastes sp. Its description in RNAcentral is "partial large subunit ribosomal RNA". It matches the Rfam family "Bacterial large subunit ribosomal RNA", at positions 2005 to 2539 of the family's 2925-position model. Lineage: Eukaryota; Metazoa; Chordata; Lepidosauria; Squamata; Dipsadidae. The record is from RNAcentral.